This 74-nucleotide transfer RNA is filed under the name Alteribacter lacisalsi. It matches the Rfam family "tRNA". Rfam says of the family: Transfer RNA (tRNA) molecules are approximately 80 nucleotides in length. Their secondary structure includes four short double-helical elements and three loops (D, anti-codon, and T loops). The record is from Rfam by way of RNAcentral. Lineage: Bacteria; Bacillati; Bacillota; Bacilli; Caryophanales; Bacillaceae.
CGCGGGAUGGAGCAGUCUGGUAGCUCGUUGGGCUCAUAACCCAAAGGUCGGAGGUUCAAAUCCUCCUCCCGCAA